UGGCUCAGGAUGAACGCUGGCGGCGUGCCUAACACAUGCGAGUCGAGCGAUUACUUCGGUAAAGAGCGGCGGACGGGUGAGUAACGCGUGGGUAACCUGCCUCAUACACAUGGAUAACAUACCGAAAGGUAUGCUAAUACAGGAUAAUAUAAGAGAUUCACAUGGAUUUCUUAUCAAAGCUCCGGCGGUAUGAGAUGGACCCGCGUCUGAUUAGCUAGUUGGUAAGGUAAUGGCUUACCAAGGCGACGAUCAGUAGCCGACCUGAGAGGGUGAUCGGCCACAUUGGAACUGAGACACGGUCCAAACUCCUACGGGAGGCAGCAGUGGGGAAUAUUGCACAAUGGGCGAAAGCCUGAUGCAGCAACGCCGCGUGAGUGAUGAAGGCCUUCGGGUCGUAAAACUCUGUCCUCAAGGAAGAUAAUGACGGUACUUGAGGAGGAAGCCCCGGCUAACUACGUGCCAGCCGCCGC
This 470-nucleotide ribosomal RNA is filed under the name uncultured bacterium. RNAcentral describes it as "bacterial SSU rRNA". It matches the Rfam family "Bacterial small subunit ribosomal RNA", at positions 20 to 518 of the family's 1533-position model. The record is from RNAcentral.